AGGGGGGACGAACAGUUGGAAACGACUGCUAAUACCGCAUACGAUCUAAUCUCGGCAUCGAGGGAAAAGAAUGAAAGGUGGGCCUCUAUUUAUAAGCUAUCACUGAAGGAGGGGGAUUGCGUCUGAUUAGCUAGUUGGAGGGGGUAACGGGCCCACCAAGGCGAUGAUCAGUAGCCGGUCUGAGAGGAUGAACGGCCACAUUGGGACUGAGACACGGCCCAGACUCCUACGGGAGGCAGCAUG
RNAcentral lists this ribosomal RNA (243 nucleotides) under uncultured bacterium. RNAcentral's name for it is "partial 16S ribosomal RNA". It matches the Rfam family "Bacterial small subunit ribosomal RNA", at positions 135 to 353 of the family's 1533-position model. The record is from RNAcentral.